Non-coding RNA from Phrynosoma platyrhinos (Desert horned lizard), 72 nucleotides. The record is from the annotation of a GenBank genome assembly. NCBI's taxonomy places the organism in Eukaryota, Metazoa, Chordata, Lepidosauria, Squamata, Phrynosomatidae.
GCCAGCGUGGCGUAGUGGUUUGAGUAUCAGAUUACAACCGUGGAGACCAGGGUUCGAUUCCCCGCUCAGUCA